Molecule: non-coding RNA, 455 nt
Filed under: Anopheles gambiae (African malaria mosquito)
Lineage: Eukaryota; Metazoa; Arthropoda; Insecta; Diptera; Culicidae
Description: eukaryotic large subunit ribosomal RNA
Rfam family: Eukaryotic large subunit ribosomal RNA
Source: Rfam by way of RNAcentral
UCGCUAUCUUAACGGAAUUCCUGUGCAGUACGAGAGGAACCACAGGUACGGACCACUGGCUCAAUACUAGUCCGACCGGACUUUGGUAUGACGCUACGUCCGCUGGAUUAUGCCUGAACGCCUCUAAUGUCGUAGCCAAUCCGAGCUGAUAGCGCUUCUCAAACCCAUUAGGUGUUCGGAAGCUAGCGGGCCUAACAACCCUCUGAGAUCCGUUGGAGUCUGCCUUUGCAGCCCGGCGUCUCAUCCCGCCAUACCUAGGCCGCAAUGAGUGGAGUUCGCUGCACGUGUUAGUACCGUAACUGGGAACGCCGUUGACUUGAGCUCUGCCCAAUGUGGAUAUACCUAGUUUCGACAUCUAUCAACCGUCCGCAACGACGGGAUUUCAGGCUGGGAGCUGCGAGUUGUAGAGAUGCGUUCGCAUCGAUCCUCUCAGGCGACCCAUGCUUGGUGGUUUG